RNAcentral lists this ribosomal RNA (530 nucleotides) under uncultured bacterium. Its description in RNAcentral is "bacterial SSU rRNA". It matches the Rfam family "Bacterial small subunit ribosomal RNA", at positions 355 to 902 of the family's 1533-position model. The record is from RNAcentral.
UGGGGAAUAUUGGACAAUGGGGGCAACCCUGAUCCAGCCAUGCCGCGUGAGUGAUGAAGGCCUUCGGGUUGUAAAGCUCUUUCGGUGGGGACGAUGAUGACGGUACCCACAGAAGAAGCCCCGGCUAACUUCGUGCCAGCAGCCGCGGUAAUACGAAGGGGGCGAGCGUUGUUCGGAAUUACUGGGCGUAAAGGGCGCGUAGGCGGCGCACCAAGUCAGGCGUGAAAGCCCUGGGCUUAACCCAGGAAUUGCGUUUGAGACUGGUGUGCUCGAGUGCAGGAGAGGUCGGCGGAAUUCCCAGUGUAGAGGUGAAAUUCGUAGAGAUUGGGAAGAACACCGGUGGCGUAGGCGGCCGACUGGACUGUAACUGACGCUGAGGCGCGAAAGCGUGGGGAGCAAACAGGAUUAGAUACCCUGGUAGUCCACGCCGUAAACGAUGUGCGCUAGCCGUUGGGGGCCCUAGGCCCUCGGUGGCGCAGCUAACGCAUUAAGCGCACCGCCUGGGGAGUACGGCCGCAAGGUUAAAACUC